UGGAUUAAAGGCUGGGAUGAUUGCUGCAAAUAGUUUUCUGGGAAAAGGUUGUAAUAUUCUGAGCAAUCCAAAGCUUAUGGUACCCUCUAUGAUGGAAACCGGAGCACGUCUUUCGUUACUAGAUUCCUCAGUCAUUUUAUAUCAACCGGCUCGGUGACUUUAUUGGAGGAAGGUGGCACUAUGUUUACCUUUGAAGGAACUAGUAAAAAGUGUUCUCU
Molecule: long non-coding RNA, 218 nt
Organism: Hibiscus syriacus
Lineage: Eukaryota; Viridiplantae; Streptophyta; Magnoliopsida; Malvales; Malvaceae
Exons: 3
Source: RefSeq, a predicted model, not a curated record